GAUCCUGGCUCAGGAUGAACGCUAGCUACAGGCUUAACACAUGCAAGUCGAGGGGCAGCAUGAACUUAGCUUGCUAAGUUUGAUGGCGACCGGCGCACUGGUGAGUAACACGUAUCCAACCUUCCGUUUACUCAGGGAUAGCCUUUCGAAAGAAAGAUUAAUACCUGAUAGUAUGGUGAGAUUGCAUGAUAGCACCAUUAAAGAUUUAUUGGUAAACGAUGGGGAUGCGUUCCUAG
RNAcentral lists this ribosomal RNA (236 nucleotides) under uncultured bacterium. RNAcentral describes it as "partial 16S ribosomal RNA". It matches the Rfam family "Bacterial small subunit ribosomal RNA", at positions 15 to 242 of the family's 1533-position model. The record is from RNAcentral.